GGCAUUCAUGAAACCAUGUCCCUGUUCUUUCUCUGCAGGUGACUGGAUCAGAGUGAUGCCAGGCCCUCUGCAGCCAUUUUGUGUCCAUGAGAAGAGCUAGUCCAGAGUCAAAGUGGACAUUCAGAGAAGGACACAAAGGAGCAAAUCCCAAUCCCUAGAGGCAUUCCAUCAGUUCACCCACCCCCUGGGCUUUGCACAAGAUGGAGAUCUGAGGUCUGGGCCUGAAACCACAUGCUUCAACCAUCUGACAGCAUUUACUCCUGCACCAGGUUCCAGAUUCUGGAGAAAAGGGCUCAGAAAAGUCCUCCAUAAGGUCCCUCCUCCGAUAAGACUUCUUCCUGCAGAAUCACAUCUCCAUUAAGAGCAUGCCAGGCAAAUGCUACCAACGAAUGGGAACCAGCACACUAGGUUAAACACAUUAUACAGGGGAUGACCCAUGAUGUAAAGCUGAGUGGAAGGAAGCCCAAUAGUAAGUACAGCACAAAAUAGUUCUUAAAAGGAGAAACUAAGCAUGCUGGUGCAAAUGAUAAAUGUAGGAAAGUGACAUCUCCUAGGGGUGUGGGUGUGUGUGUGUGUGUGUGUGUGGUUGGGAUUGCAAUGUUCCUUUUCUCUUUUGUGUUGCCUCUGCACUGAGUGGCUACUCAUUUGAUGCAUAUGCUCAUUGAGCAUCUAUUAUGUGCCAGUCCUCUAUUAGGGAUGCAAGGAUGAUCAAGAUUAAUG
Molecule: long non-coding RNA, 720 nt
Filed under: Sus scrofa (pig)
Lineage: Eukaryota; Metazoa; Chordata; Mammalia; Artiodactyla; Suidae
Description: lncRNA (ENSSSCG00035032791.1)
Source: RNAcentral